This 449-nucleotide ribosomal RNA is filed under the name uncultured organism. Its description in RNAcentral is "partial 16S ribosomal RNA". It matches the Rfam family "Bacterial small subunit ribosomal RNA", at positions 334 to 799 of the family's 1533-position model. The record is from RNAcentral.
CACUCCUACGGGAGGCAGCAGUGGGGAAUAUUGGACAAUGGGCGCAAGCCUGAUCCAGCCAUGCCGCGUGAGUGAUGAAGGCCCUAGGGUUGUAAAGCUCUUUCACCGGUGAAGAUAAUGACGGUAACCGGAGAAGAAGCCCCGGCUAACUUCGUGCCAGCAGCCGCGGUAAUACGAAGGGGGCUAGCGUUGUUCGGAUUUACUGGGCGUAAAGCGCACGCAGGCGGACUAUUAAGUCAGGGGUGAAAUCCCGGGGCUCAACCCCGGAACUGCCUUUGAUACUGGUAGUCUUGAGUUCGAGAGAGGUGAGUGGAAUUCCGAGUGUAGAGGUGAAAUUCGUAGAUAUUCGGAGGAACACCAGUGGCGAAGGCGGCUCACUGGCUCGAUACUGACGCUGAGGUGCGAAAGCGUGGGGAGCAAACAGGAUUAGAUACCCUUGUAGUCCCAUG